Molecule: ribosomal RNA, 209 nt
Filed under: Rhizobium sp.
Lineage: Bacteria; Pseudomonadati; Pseudomonadota; Alphaproteobacteria; Hyphomicrobiales; Rhizobiaceae
Description: partial 16S ribosomal RNA
Rfam family: Bacterial small subunit ribosomal RNA
Source: RNAcentral
ACGGGUGAGUAACGCGUGGGAAUCUACCCUUGACUACGGAAUAACGCAGGGAAACUUGUGCUAAUACCGUAUGUGUCCUUCGGGAGAAAGAUUUAUCGGUCAAGGAUGAGCCCGCGUUGGAUUAGCUAGUUGGUGGGGUAAAGGCCUACCNGGNCGACGAUCCAUAGCUGGUCUGAGAGGAUGNCNAGNNNUAUUGGGACUGNGACACG